GGGAUUAUGGCUUAAUGGUAGAGCGUUUGCCUAGCAUGCAGAAGAUACUGGUUUUAAUACCUAGUACCA
Molecule: transfer RNA, 69 nt
Filed under: Urocitellus parryii (Arctic ground squirrel)
Lineage: Eukaryota; Metazoa; Chordata; Mammalia; Rodentia; Sciuridae
Also listed under: 1 other name
Description: Spermophilus parryii (Arctic ground squirrel) tRNA
Rfam family: tRNA
About the family: Transfer RNA (tRNA) molecules are approximately 80 nucleotides in length.
Source: Rfam by way of RNAcentral